GAGUAAGACUCGCAGAAGUAGAGUGGCAACGGUGGAGUCCGGUGGGUUUGAAGUUGAACGCGAAGGGAAAGAGAAGUGUUGUCUUGGUCCCGCGAUCGCAAUCGGGGCUCGAUAUCGCAACGCGGCGUAUUUGAGGGAGUGACCGACCGGUUGUCCGAAGGAAGCGUCGCGUGAACCGGCGGGUAAAAAUCGUUCGUAUUUUAAACGGGGGAAAAACGGUGUUCGUGCGGCUACUGGCGCAUUGUCGCGCUAAACAAAAAUGGCGGACGGCGACUCGAGGGUGGACCGGUCUGAUCCCGAGCUGAAAUACCUCUCCGUUGAUAGGAACAGCUUCAACGAUCCGGCCACGCAGGCGGAAUGGACGCAGAAGAAACUUGUCUGGGUGCCGCACGAGUCCCAGGGAUUCGUUGCCGCCGGUAUAAAGGGCGAACGCGGCGACGAAGUCGAGGUCGAGGUCGCCGAGACCGGGAAACGCGUACUAGUCGCCAAAGAUGACAUACAGAAGAUGAAUCCGCCGAAAUUUGACAAGGUCGAGGACAUGGCCGAGUUGACCUGUCUCAACGAGGCGUCCGUGCUCCAUAACCUCAAAGAUCGCUACUACUCGGGACUGAUUUACACCUACUCCGGCCUCUUCUGCGUCGUCGUGAAUCCCUACAAGAGACUGCCGAUUUAUACAGAAAAAAUAAUGGAGAGGUAUAAGGGUAUAAAACGUCACGAAGUACCGCCGCACGUUUUCGCCAUAACCGAUACGGCCUAUCGUUCGAUGCUUCAAGAUCGGGAGGAUCAGGCGAUUUUAUGCACGGGUGAAUCCGGUGCCGGUAAAACAGAGAACACGAAAAAGGUGAUCCAGUAUUUGGCAUACGUGGCUGCCUCCAAACCAAAAUCAAACGCGACUCCAAGUCCGGCGUUGAUCAUUUCACCUACAGGGACGCUUACGGAAAAAUUUUCGGGUGAACUGGAACAACAAUUACUGCAAGCCAAUCCCAUCUUGGAGGCCUUUGGAAAUGCGAAAACUGUCAAGAAUGACAAUUCAUCACGUUUUGGAAAAUUCAUCAGGAUCAACUUUGAUGCAUCUGGUUACAUUGCCGGAGCCAACAUCGAAACUUACCUGCUUGAAAAAUCCAGGGCUAUCCGUCAGGCCAAGGACGAGAGAACCUUCCACAUAUUUUAUCAACUUCUAGCCGGCGCCUCACCUGAACAGAAAAAGGAAUUCAUUCUGGAAGAUCCCAAAAACUAUCUCUUCCUGUCCAACGGAUCGCUGCCAGUGCCUGGCUUUGACGAUUCUGCCGAGUUUCAGUCGACGGUAAAAUCAAUGAACAUAAUGGGCAUGACGAGCGAAGAUUUUUCAUCGAUAUUCAGAAUUGUGUCGGCUGUGAUGUUGUUCGGGUCGAUGCAGUUUCGACAGGAGAGAAAUUCCGACCAAGCGACACUCCCCGACAAUACCGUCGCCCAGAAAGUUUCUCACUUGUUGGGUCUGAGCGUGACAGAAAUGACGAAGGCAUUCCUCAAACCGAGAAUCAAAGUUGGCAGAGACUUUGUGACCAAAGCGCAGACAAAAGAACAGGUCGAAUUUGCGGUCGAGGCCAUUUCCAAAGCCUGCUACGAGAGAAUGUUCAGAUGGCUUGUCAACAGGAUAAACAGAUCCUUGGACAGAACGAAGCGACAGGGAGCAAGCUUCAUCGGCAUACUGGAUAUGGCUGGUUUUGAAAUAUUCGAAUUGAAUUCCUUCGAACAGUUGUGCAUCAACUACACCAACGAGAAACUGCAGCAACUGUUCAACCACACCAUGUUCAUCCUCGAGCAGGAAGAGUAUCAGCGAGAAGGUAUCGAGUGGAAGUUCAUCGAUUUUGGCCUCGAUCUCCAGCCGACAAUCGACCUUAUCGACAAACCUAUGGGCAUAAUGGCUCUGCUCGACGAAGAAUGCUGGUUCCCGAAAGCAACGGACAAAACGUUCGUUGAAAAAUUGGUCGGAGCUCACAGCGUUCAUCCGAAAUUCAUGAAGACCGAUUUCCGCGGUGUCGCAGAUUUCGCGAUAAUUCAUUACGCUGGUAAGGUCGAUUAUUCGGCCGCCAAAUGGCUCAUGAAGAAUAUGGAUCCUCUGAACGAAAACGUCGUCAGUCUUUUGCAGCAGUCUCAGGAUCAGUUUGUGUGCCACAUUUGGAAGGAUGCAGAAAUCGUUGGAAUGGCGCAGCAAGCCCUCACCGAUACGCAGUUCGGGGCGAGAACUCGGAAAGGAAUGUUCAGGACCGUUUCUCAGCUGUACAAAGAACAGUUGGCCAAGCUUAUGGUCACUCUGCGUAACACGAAUCCGAACUUCGUCAGAUGCAUUAUACCGAAUCACGAGAAACGGGCUGGAAAAAUUGACGCUCCUCUCGUACUUGAUCAGCUGAGAUGCAACGGUGUUCUCGAAGGAAUUCGUAUAUGCCGUCAAGGCUUCCCCAACAGAAUACCCUUCCAGGAGUUCAGGCAACGCUACGAACUCCUCACUCCCAAUGUUAUUCCGAAAGGAUUUAUGGAUGGCAAAAAGGCUUGUGAAAAAAUGAUUCAAGCCUUGGAAUUGGAUCCGAAUCUUUACCGCGUUGGUCAGUCGAAGAUAUUUUUCCGAGCAGGAGUGCUGGCGCAGCUUGAGGAGGAAAGAGAUUACAAAAUCACUGAUCUGAUUGUGAAUUUCCAGGCGUUCUGUCGCGGUUUCUUGGCCCGCAGGAAUUAUCAAAAACGUUUACAACAGUUGAACGCUAUACGUAUUAUACAGAGGAACUGUGCAGCGUACUUGAAACUUCGCAACUGGCAAUGGUGGAGGUUGUACACGAAGGUUAAGCCACUUCUUGAAGUUACCAAGCAAGAGGAGAAGCUCACGCAGAAGGAAGAUGAGCUGAAACAAGUCCGGGAUAAGCUUGAGAUGCAGCUUCAUUCGGCUCAAGAGUACGAGCGAAAGUAUCAGAUGGCUAUUGAGGAAAAAACGGUUCUAGCCGAACAGUUGCAGGCUGAAGUCGAGCUCUGUGCCGAAGCUGAGGAAAUGAGGGCGAGACUUGCUGCGAGAAAACAGGAGCUGGAAGAAAUAUUACACGACUUGGAGGCUCGGAUAGAAGAAGAAGAGGAACGAAGCACCGGCCUAACGCAAGAAAAGAAAAAGUUGCAGUUAAACAUAAGUGAUCUUGAAGAACAAUUAGAGGAGGAAGAGGCUGCUAGGCAAAAGUUACAGCUUGAAAAGGUUCAGUGUGAUGCUAAAAUAAAGAAGCUCGAAGAAGAUCUUGCGCUGUCGGACGAUACUAAUCAAAAAUUGCUCAAAGAAAAGAAGAUUCUUGAGGAGAGAUCAAACGAUUUGUCGCAAACUCUUGCCGAGGAAGAGGAGAAGGCUAAGCAUCUUUCGAAAUUGAAAGCAAAACACGAGGCGACAAUCGCCGAUCUUGAGGAAAGAUUGCUCAAGGAUCAUCAGCAGCGACAAGAGGUGGACAGGUCUAAGCGUAAGGUAGAAACCGAAGUUUCGGACUUGAAAGAACAGCUCACUGAGCGUAGGACGCAGUUUGAGGAGCUUCAAUUACAGCUGGGUAAACGCGAGGAAGAGUUAGCUCAGGCUAUGAUGAAAAUCGACGAGGAAGGAGCUGCCAAAGCACAGGCUCAGAAAGCUCUCAGGGAACUGGAAUCGCAACUCGCAGAAUUACAGGAAGACUUGGAGGCUGAAAAAAUAGCCAGAAGUAAGGCGGAGAAAUUGAAACGAGACCUUAACGAGGAAUUGGAGGCCUUGAAAAACGAGUUACUCGACUCUUUGGACGUUACAGCGGCACAACAGGAACUUAGAGGUAAAAGGGAACAAGAAUUAGCGACGUUAAAGAAAAAUCUUGAAGAAGAGACAUCCAUGCAUGAAGGUACUUUGGCCGAUAUGCGCCAUAAACAUUCUCACGAAUUGACGGUAAUUAACGAGCAGAUGGAUGCGCUGAAGAAGGCUAAAGUCGCUUUAGAAAAGGCAAAGUCGACCCUGGAAGCUGAGAAUGCCGAUCUAACCACCGAACUAAGGUCCGUUGGUGCGAGUAGACAGGAAUCUGACCGAAGGCGCAAACAAGCCGAACAACAGUUAGCCGAAUUAAAUGCUAAAGUUGCGGAAGUUGAGAGGGCCAAACAGGAACUGGCUGAAAGAGCUGCAAAAUUGCAGCAGGAAGCGGAGAGUGUUUCUCAACAGCUGGAAGCUGCCGAAUUGAAGGCGUCCGCUGCACUGAAAGCGGCCACUACUUGCGAGUCGCAAUUUGCCGAGAUUCAACAGCAACUAGAAGAGGAGACAAGGCAAAAACUUGCCCUCAGUUCCAAGCUGAGAGCACUUGAAGGUGAAAAGGAGAGUCUUCAAGAGCAGUUGGACGAGGAGGAGGAAGCCAAACGAUCUUUGGACAAGCAAGUACAAAGUCUGACCAUGUUGUUAGCCGAGGCAAAGAAACGUGGCGACGAGGAGGCCGAGGCUGCGGUGGCUUUGGAAGAGGCGAGAAAACGCUGUUUGAAAGACAUCGAAGCCCUUCAAAGGCAAGUUGAGGAACUACAAGCGGCAAACGACAAAUUGGACAAGUCUAAGAAGAAGAUUCAAGCUGAAUUGGAAGACAGUAAUAUCGAGCUGGAAGUACAGCGGGCGAAGGUGAUGGAGCUGGAAAAGAAACAGAAGAACUUUGACAAGGUACUUGCGGAAGAAAAGGCGAUAUCUGAACAGUAUGCUGAACAACGUGACGCCGCUGAACGGGAAGCGCGAGAAAAGGAAACCAGGGUACUUUCGUUGACUCGUCAAUUGGACGAGAUGAAUGAUAAGGUUGAAGAGCUUGAGCGGGGCAGACGGGGACUUCAGGCUGAGCUCGACGAACUGGUGAACAACCAGGGUACCGCCGACAAGAACGUACACGAGCUCGAGAAAGCUAAACGCGCACUCGAAUCCCAGUUGGCUGAGCAAAGAUCUCAAGUUGAGGAGAUGGAGGAUGAGCUUCAGUUUACCGAAGACGCAAAGUUGCGACUAGAGGUAAACAUGCAGGCACUCAGGGCGCAAUUUGAACGUGAUCUCCAAGCCAAAGAGGAACAGGCUGAAGAAAAACGUAGAGGUUUGGUCAAGCAGUUGCGGGAUCUCGAAGCCGAACUUGAGGAUGAGAGGAAGCAGCGUGCUGCAGCCAUUGUACAGCGUAAAAAGAUGGAAGCUGAUUAUAAGGACAUUGAACAACAGUUGGAAAUGCAUAACAAGGUCAAGGAAGAUGCUCUUAAACAACUUAAGAAACUUCAGGCACAGGUCAAAGACUGUGCAAGAGAAACCGAGGAAGCCAGAGCUGCGCGAGAUGACUUGGCCGCUAGCGCCAAGGAAACCGAGAGAAAAGUCAAGAGUUUAGAAGCCGAACUUAUGCAACUCACGGAAGAUUUGGCAAGCAGCGAAAGAAAUCGGCGUACUGCUGAGAGCGAGAGGGAUGAAUUUCAAGAGGAAAUCAACAACAAUGCCAAUAAGGGUACCUUGCUACUAGACGAAAAACGUAGAUUGGAAGCGAGAAUUGCGACCUUAGAAGAAGAGCUGGAGGAGGAGCAAUCUAACAGUGAGAUUUUGAUGGACCGAGCCAGGAAAGGACAGAUCAAUAUUGAACAGCUUACGACAGAUUUGGCGACGGAACGUUCGACGACCCAAAAACUUGAAACUCACAGAAUGUUACUGGAGAGGCAGAACAAAGAAUUGAAGGCGAAAUUGGCCGAGCUGGAAACUGCACAACGUACAAAAACCAAAGCAACGAUUCAAGCUUUGGAGUCGAAGAUAAAUAAUCUUGAUGAACAGCUCGAAGCUGAAGGCAAAGAACGGUUUGCACAGCAGAAAAUCAACAGAAAGUUAGACAAGAAGUACAAGGAGGUGGUUAUACAGCUCGAGGAUGAGCGAAGAAACGCUGAUCAAUAUAAGGAACAGGUUGAAAAGGUCAAUGUAAGAAUGAAGGCUUUGAAGAGACAGCUAGAUGAAGCUGAGGAAGAAGUAACUAGAGAAAAAACUCAGAAACGAAAGGCACAACGGGACUUGGAGGACAUGAUGGAGUCUCACGAAUCGCUGACUCGUGAGGUUGCCAACUUGAGGAAUAAAUGGAGUUCCUACUGAUCUUGGAAAACAGGCAAAAGAGCAGUCGCUGCUUCAAUAAUACAAUUGAAACCCAAGACGAACGCCAGGAAUUGGUCUCAGCUCUACUACUCGUCUCACAAAACGAGGUUCCUCGCAGACCGGUGGCUCCGGUGACGAUUCAACAACCCAGGACGAAAGUAUGGAUGGCGAAGAAGCUGCGAAUUAAAGUGGCCAUGGAUCUUCCUUUUUAACAA
This 6303-nucleotide unclassified non-coding RNA is filed under the name Neodiprion lecontei (redheaded pine sawfly). RNAcentral describes it as "myosin heavy chain, non-muscle, transcript variant X3". The record is from RNAcentral. Lineage: Eukaryota; Metazoa; Arthropoda; Insecta; Hymenoptera; Diprionidae.